This 497-nucleotide ribosomal RNA is filed under the name uncultured bacterium. RNAcentral describes it as "partial 16S ribosomal RNA". It matches the Rfam family "Bacterial small subunit ribosomal RNA", at positions 28 to 507 of the family's 1533-position model. The record is from RNAcentral.
GACGAACGCUGGCGGCGUGCCUAAUACAUGCAAGUUGAGCGCUGAAGGUUGGUACUUGUACCGACUGGAUGAGCAGCGCACGGGUGAGUAACGCGUGGGGAAUCUGCCUUUGAGCGGGGGACAACAUUUGGAAACGAAUGCUAAUACCGCAUAAAAACUUUAAACACAAGUUUUAAGUUUGAAAGAUGCAAUUGCAUCACUCAAAGAUGAUCCCGCGUUGUAUUAGCUAGUUGGUGAGGUAAAGGCUCACCAAGGCGAUGAUACAUAGCCGACCUGAGAGGGUGAUCGGCCACAUUGGGACUGAGACACGGCCCAAACUCCUACGGGAGGCAGCAGUAGGGAAUCUUCGGCAAUGGACGAAAGUCUGACCGAGCAACGCCGCGUGAGUGAAGAAGGGUUUCGGAUCGUAAAACUCUGUUGGUAGAGAAGAACGUUGGUGAGAGUGGAAAGCUCAUCAAGUGACGGUAACUACCCAGAAAGGGACGGCUAACUACGUG